GGGAGCAGGUGGGUCUCUUUUCCCUUUAGGGUUAGGGUUGCGAUACUAUCCAGAUCGAAAUAUGUUAUUCUUCUUUUCUUUUGACUUUCUUUUCUAAGCCCCAGAUCUACAUUCUUUAGCAUGUUGCAUGGUUAUAUCAAGUGUGCUAGCUGGAGGUGGUGGGAUCCCUUCUGCUUUGGUGCCUGUUCGUCGACGAACACCAACGAGGUAUGCACCCCUUUCUCUCCCUUUGUCGUUGUUUGUAGGAGGAGCUCCUUGUAUGC
Molecule: long non-coding RNA, 263 nt
Filed under: Sorghum bicolor (sorghum)
Lineage: Eukaryota; Viridiplantae; Streptophyta; Magnoliopsida; Poales; Poaceae
Description: long non-coding RNA (SBIC_LNC003959)
Source: RNAcentral